CCAAUAGCGUAUAUUAAAGUUGUUGCAGUUAAAAAGCUCGUAGUUGAAUUUCGGGAUCAAUAUAUCGGUCGUGCCUUCGGUAUGCACUGGUAUUAUUGAUUUCUCCCUUUUGACGAAUCAUGAUGUCAUUAAUUUGGUGUCAUGGGGAAUCAGAACUGUUACUUUGAAAAAAUUAGAGUGUUUAAAGCAGGCACACGCUUGAAUACAUUAGCAUGGAAUAAUGAAAUAGGACGUUUGACCCUAUUUUGUUGGUUUCUAGGAUCGACGUAAUGAUUAAUAGGGAUAGUUGGGGGCAUUGGUAUUCAAUUGUCAGAGGUGAAAUUCUUGGAUUUAUUGAAGACUAACUACUGCGAAAGCAUUUGCCAAGGAUGUUUUCAUUAAUCAAGAACGAAAGUUAGGGGAUCGAAGACGAUCAGAUACCGUCGUAGUCUUAACCAUAAGCUAUGCCGACUAGGGAUCGGAUGAUGUUAAUUUUUUAAUGACUCAUUCGGCGCCUUACG
Molecule: ribosomal RNA, 500 nt
Filed under: uncultured Glomeromycotina
Lineage: Eukaryota; Fungi; Glomeromycota
Description: partial small subunit ribosomal RNA
Rfam family: Eukaryotic small subunit ribosomal RNA
Source: RNAcentral